AUACGUAGGGGGCGAGCGUUGUCCGGAAUUACUGGGCGUAAAGGGUGCGUAGGUGGCACUUUAAGUUGGAUGUGAAAUCCCCGUGCUUAACAUGGGAGCUGCAUCCAAUACUGGAGAGCUAGAGUGCAGGAGAGGUAAGCGGAAUUCCUAGUGUAGCGGUGAAAUGCGUAGAUAUUAGGAGGAACACCAGUGGCGAAGGCGGCUUACUGGACUGUAACUGACACUGAGGCACGAAAGCGUGGGGAGCAAACAGGAUUAGAUACCCUGGUAGUCCACGCUGUAAACGAUGAAUACUAGGUGUAGGGGGUAUCAACUCCCUCUGUGCCGCAGCAAACGCAAUAAGUAUUCCGCCUGGGGAGUACGGCCGCAAGGUUGAAACUCAAAUGAAUUGGCGGG
This 396-nucleotide ribosomal RNA is filed under the name uncultured bacterium. RNAcentral describes it as "partial 16S ribosomal RNA". It matches the Rfam family "Bacterial small subunit ribosomal RNA", at positions 523 to 917 of the family's 1533-position model. The record is from RNAcentral.